CCUACGGUGCGCAGCAGUGAGGAAUAUUGGUCAAUGGGCGGAAGCCUGAACCAGCCAAGUCGCGUGAGGGAAUAAGGCCCUACGGGUCGUAAACCUCUUUUGCCGGGGAGCAAGGGCGGGGACGUGUCCCGGCCCGGAGAGUACUCGGAGACAAAGCAUCGGCUAACUCCGUGCCAGCAGCCGCGGUAAUACGGAGGAUGCGAGCGUUAUCCGGAUUUAUGGGGUGUAAAGGGCGUGCAGCCGGGAAGACAAGUCAGAUGUGAAAUCCCGCGGCUCAACCGCGGAACUGCAUUUGAAACUGGUUUUCUUGAGUACCGGAGAGGUCAUCGGAAUUCCUUGUGUAGCGGUGAAAUGCGUAGAUAUAAGGAAGAACACCAGUGGCGAAGGCGGAUGACUGGACGGCAACUGACGGUGAGGCGCGAAAGCGUGGGGAGCAAACAGGAUUAGAUACCCUAGUAGUC
RNAcentral lists this ribosomal RNA (461 nucleotides) under uncultured bacterium. RNAcentral describes it as "partial 16S ribosomal RNA". It matches the Rfam family "Bacterial small subunit ribosomal RNA", at positions 338 to 795 of the family's 1533-position model. The record is from RNAcentral.